GUACACGCUGUGACUAGCAUAUCAAUAAGCGGAGGAAAAGAAACUAACAAGGAUUCCCCUAGUAACGGCGAGUGAAGCGGGAAGAGCUCAAAUUUGAAAUCUUAAAGGGUUUCCCUUUACGAAUUGUAGUUUAAAGAAGUGUUUUCUGUUGAGGUUUUGGUAAAAGUUCUUUGGAAUAGGACAUCAUAGAGGGUGAGAAUCCCGUAUUUGACCUUUACUUUCAACUUUGUGAUACACUUUCAAAGAGUCGGAUUGUUUGGGAAUGCAGUCCAAAAUGGGUGGUAAAUUUCAUCUAAAGCUAAAUAUUGGCGAGAGACCGAUAGCGAACAAGUACCGUGAGGGAAAGACGAAAAGAACUUUGAAAAGAGAGUUAAACAGUACGUGAAAUUGUCAAAAGGGAAGCGUUUGACACCAGUGUUGUUUUUCUGAAAAUCAAUUAAAGAACUGUUUAUGCUAAGUUGUUUAGACUUUAUCAGCUAACUGUUUAGUUUUGAGCUUUUCUUUAAUGCACUUUUCAGUUAACAAGUCAACAUCAAUUUCUUUUGCUGUAAAAAAGCUUGAGGAAGGUGGCUUGAGAUUCGUCUUAAGUGUUUAUAGCCUCUUGCCUAUGCAGUCGGAGAGAUUGAGGUCUGCAGCGUAGAUCCUUCGGGGCUAAAUGCAUUUGUGCUAAGUUAUAGCAUUUUAUAGACAACUUGUUGACUAUGAUUUGUCUUGUAGUUUACUCGCCUAUGUUAUUUACCUACGCUUAGGAUGUUGACAGCAGUAUAGACUGU
RNAcentral lists this ribosomal RNA (773 nucleotides) under uncultured Neocallimastigales. Its description in RNAcentral is "partial large subunit ribosomal RNA". It matches the Rfam family "Eukaryotic large subunit ribosomal RNA", at positions 22 to 637 of the family's 3401-position model. The record is from RNAcentral. Lineage: Eukaryota; Fungi; Neocallimastigomycota; Neocallimastigomycetes; Neocallimastigales.